Gallus gallus (chicken) is the source of this 1352-nucleotide long non-coding RNA. RefSeq lists it as uncharacterized. NCBI's taxonomy places the organism in Eukaryota, Metazoa, Chordata, Aves, Galliformes, Phasianidae. The transcript has 4 exons. The record is from RefSeq and is a predicted model, not a curated record.
GUGGAGGAGCAAGCUGAAUGUCAUCACUGGCAGAAGUAGGGAGAACAGGCAGCAGGCAGGCUGGUAGUUAGCAUGGAGAUCACGAAGUCUGCUUUCCCUGAGUGCUCUGGGCGAAAACACAAGAACAGCUCAGAAAUGCUGGUGUCAUUCCUCCCCUGGUAGGAAUGACCGGAAGGAGUGAGGGUGUUAACAAACGUAAGGCAGACUGCAAGUGCAAAAGCUGCAUCUGUACUUGCUAUCAAGGUAACAGAGUUCCUGUCACACUGUCUGCAGGACUGCAUAGCUACAGAUAAUAGGAGAGCAACAGCACAGCAAAAUAAGAAAGGAGAGACACAGACUACUGCUGCAUACAUUUUUCUAUAUAAUACCCAUUGUGGGAAAAAGCUACCUAUAAGUCUCAUAAUUCCUGAUAAACCAAUUGGAAACUAUGAAUGGGAAUGAAUGUAUGCAGCAUGUAAGAUUUUGAAAUUUGGACCAAAAAAGCCAUCAUCACCACAAAUAUGAAAGAAAACUUCUUUGCUCAAAUGAAAAUUUCAAUAUGGUAUUUCCAGAAGUAAAAUGCAUGGAAUGCAACAACAAUAUGCAAGACGGUUUAGCUUUUCACUUAAACUUCUGAAUUGCUGUUCAAUUUCUACAGUGGAAUUCUCCCAAGAUUUUAAGAUACGAUAUUGAACUUAUUACAUAGCACGAGAAUGUGCAACCUACAGUUAGAAAUGCAAGAAAGAGUUUAUCUCCUACCUGGAAAUAAAAUAGUUAACAGUGAUAAAAGCCUUAACAACAGAAGCCAGAUAAUUAAUGGAAAUUUACUCCUGGACUCGAGUGGUUGUGGCUGGCUGAAACAUUCAACAAUAAGAAUGACUCAACUCUCCCUAAGGAGCAUGACAUCUCUGAUUAUUAUUGAUAAAUAUGGUCUUGUCCUGGGCUGAGCUUACAAUUUACUUCAACAGAAGAGAAAAAUCUUUUUGAAAAUUAAAUUAUACCAGCCUCCACUCUGUGCAUUCUGCAUUGUAUGCACGUAUGCACUCCCAAAGGACAUGCUGUAUUACUAGGCAUCCAACUCAAUGUCCCAAUAAAAAAAAUAAAGGAGGCCACGUGUGCUUAAAGGAUUGGGCCCAGGCAUAUGAUGCUUCUUUGCAUUGGAAUAAAGUGGAAUGUCUUGUCCAUGUUAUCACUGCUUAUUAGUAGUAAUGGUGUAUUAUUAAUAAAUGCUUAUGUGAAAAAGAGUGUCAUAUUUACCAUCUUUUCAACACUACAUCAAAGAUUCCUCUUUCCUUCAAACAAAAUAAAUGAGUAUUAAAAUAAAAUACUGAAGAAAAAAAUGUCCAUAUCAAUACUGUACUGGAAAUAAAGCC